GCCAGGUGUGGUGGCGUGUGCCUGUAGUCCCAGCUACUCAGGAGGCUGAGGUGGGAGAAUUACCUGAGCCUGGGGAGACUGAGGCUGCAGUGAGUGGUGAUUGCACCACUGCACUCCAGCCUGAGCAACAGAGUGAGAUCCUGUCUCAA
Molecule: unclassified non-coding RNA, 149 nt
Organism: Pongo abelii (Sumatran orangutan)
Lineage: Eukaryota; Metazoa; Chordata; Mammalia; Primates; Hominidae
Rfam family: Metazoan signal recognition particle RNA
About the family: The signal recognition particle (SRP) is a universally conserved ribonucleoprotein. It is involved in the co-translational targeting of proteins to membranes. The eukaryotic SRP consists of a 300-nucleotide 7S RNA and six proteins: SRPs 72, 68, 54, 19, 14, and 9.
Source: Ensembl